RNAcentral lists this long non-coding RNA (826 nucleotides) under Sinocyclocheilus grahami. Its description in RNAcentral is "lncRNA (ENSSGRG00000017997.1)". The record is from RNAcentral. Lineage: Eukaryota; Metazoa; Chordata; Actinopteri; Cypriniformes; Cyprinidae.
GGUUAACUGUACAAAAGCUACAUACACAUCCAUGAUUUCACCUGAGCUCAGCAGAGGCCCAUGGCAGGACAGUGCAGAGGCACAGCUGACGGGGCUCUUUGCUUGUUCCUGAUGCUCUUUCCCGAAGGGGGCCCGUACAUGGAGUCAUUCAGUGGCUGGGGCCAUAAAUGAGGGCCGCACCAGCGGCUCAGCACUGCUUAUUCUAAAAGGACACAAGGACUUUGGAGCGCAGCCAAAAUGCCUGGAACAAAAGGUAAUAAGGCGGACAAGAAAUCCACCACCAAGCAACCACAGAGUCCUAAGGAGCAGCCGAAAAAAGGUGAUCAGAAAGGAGAUGAUGCCAAAAAGCAAGGAGGACAGCCGAAGGGAGAGAAGCAAUAAUUUCCAGGCCUUCGUGAAGCUGGCUCUGGAGACUCUCCUGGGCUCUUGUCGACGCAAGCAUGGGGGCCCCCGGGGGAGGCAGGGCUAAGGUUUACUCCUCCCACCAGCAUCCAUCUGACCGUCGCUAGACAGAGCUUGGCCUAAGCUGCCGACAGUCUGUCCCUUCUGUACCUCCUCACAUGGGUCUCGCGUUUGAAUAACACUGGUGAUCUGCUCAUUGGAAGUUGGGCUAAUAUAAAGACUCCAGAGACUCUGUGACCCCGCCCUCAUCUGUUAAUUUGACUCCGCCCAUGUCAUAGAUCUCAACUGUGCUGUACAUAAAUGAACUGAUUUGCAAAUAAACAUGAUUUCAUACACUUGCCAUAAUUUGACAUUUUGACUGAUUUUUAAAUCAGAUUAUUUAUUUAUUUACACACACACAAUACUAUUCAAAAGUUUGUGGCCA